Molecule: long non-coding RNA, 1159 nt
Filed under: Olea europaea subsp. europaea
Lineage: Eukaryota; Viridiplantae; Streptophyta; Magnoliopsida; Lamiales; Oleaceae
Source: RNAcentral
CUAAAAUGUAAGACAAACGAAUUCCUUUGCGAAUUUACGUUAAACCCAAAGAAACAUACAGAAAUACGUUCAUGGGUUGGUUUAGGCUCACUCCGUUCUUUGUGUUGCUUUUUUCUAUAAUCAGUUUUGCAUGUCAAGAAAGCAGCUGCACUGAAGCCAGGGCAGGGCCAGCCCCCUUCCUAUCUCCUCAACAAGGUAAGAAUAAGCAUUAAAAAAAAUAAAAACCAGUAUUCUUAUCUUUUAUAUAAUCACAGAGAUUUAGGGCCCAUUUGGCGGGAUUUUUACUUUUGUUUCUGUUUUUUUAUAUAAAAGCUUAUUGAGAAAGUUAUAUUAGACCAGUUUUAUGUAAAAUCUAUUCUACAGCUUAUUAGGGAGCGAUUUUUUGCUCCAAAUAAUUGAUUUUUGACUGUUAUUUCACUAUUCCAAUCAUCAUAUUUGAUUUCUUCUCUCACAGGUGGAUUCCACUUUUCUCCUAACAAUCAAAAAAUUAAUUCUCAAAAUCAUUCCCAAAUAGACUCCUAGUGAAACAACAUGCUAUACUCAAAUGUAACUUCUUAAUUUUAGAAACAGCCUUCGAAUUUUCGGAAGUCUGCCUAAUGGGUUCUUAGUUGUGUGCUGGCUCAAUCAAUUUGACACCUUGGCUUAAUUGUGUCUAUUUUCUUUGUUCCAUCUAAUUGUUCAUUUUAUAGAAGUUAGUUUGUAAAAUUGAUCAUGGGCCUAACCAAAUUGACACCUCCACUUAAUUAUGACGAUUUUAUUUAGUUCAUUUGAGGGUCGUGUUCGUUUUAUAGUAAUCAGUUUAAUUUGUAAAAUUGAUUAGUAGAAGACUCGAAGGUUUUUUCCACUCUUGGGGUGGUUUGCCGGUGUUGUGAUGGUGGAGGAAGCUCCAAUGGUGGUGGAGAAUGUACAAAUUCAUGGGUCGGGUCUUGCUCCAAUCUCCACUGUCUUCCAUGGAAAUUACACUAGCAAAAUUGUUGCUUUAAGGUCUCUUUUUGUACAGUUAUAGACUAUAAAUAUAUCAUUUUCAACGGUUGCAAAGUCUGUAUAAUUUUUUGUAUUACUUGAUGAACGUAUUAACUGCUGGAAUGUGGAAGUGAAAUUAUUUAGAAAUUAAAAAUUUCGUUAAUUCAAUAAACAAGAUCAUUUAGAUGUUUACGUG